Molecule: long non-coding RNA, 1022 nt
Organism: Sapajus apella (tufted capuchin)
Lineage: Eukaryota; Metazoa; Chordata; Mammalia; Primates; Cebidae
Exons: 2
Source: RefSeq, a predicted model, not a curated record
CAUAGUACUAAGAUACUAAUAACUGGAAAAACUUGAAAAAUGGUUUGUGAUUUAGUGUGUAUAUGUUCAUUAUUAGGCCAAUGUGCAAAAAGAUAUUUUAUUGAUUGAUUUUUGUGGGAGGAUUGGUUAUCUUAGUCUAUCAAUCCAUGAAUUUAAGGUGAUUAACUUGGUAAUAGCACAAAAUCAGUAUGAUCAAAUAAAGGAUGGCUAUGUAUUAAUGUUGAAAAAUGUAAUUAAGCAAAUAUGUGUGAAUGAGGUAAUAUGUUGACUACAUUGUCAAUGAGAAAAUUCAGGUGUUUAUCAAUUUUAAUGAUCAUUCUUGAUUUAUAAUAAAGCUUUUCUCACUUAUGUGCCUAUAUAUUAAUUUCAAAAGGGCAUGCAAACCUCGUUAGAAUCAUUCAAUCAGACUACUGGAGUUUUCUCGAAAAGUAGAAACAACAUCAAAUACAUGCAGUAUAUUAGCCAGCUUUCCCAUGUUAAAUUCCAUCUCUAACCAUCAAAACAGAAACCAUAAUGAUUUUGCAGACAUAGCUAGUGCUCUGGAGCAGUAGGUGAAAAGCAGGAGAUUGAAAGAUAGUUUCUGGACUAAUUUUAGUUUUGAAGGGGAUCAAAAUUGUGCAAUUAAAUUCACUGGAAGAUUUGUUUUUCCUGAGUAGGAAGAAGGUAAUAAAGCGAGACCGCUUGUCUGAUUGAACUUAAGUUGUUCAUUUUACACCUCCAAGGUGAAAUAGAUAUCCAGUCACUGCUACUUGCUUAUUGGCAAGAUAAUGGAGCUAAGUUUCAUUUUUAUUUCAGCAAAUGUUUAUUGAGUACCAACUAUGUGUCAAGCAUUCUAUUAGGUCCUGACUAGUGCUGAACAAAGCAGACAUGAUUCAUGCCUUCACGGAGUUUGUAGUCUAGGAGAGGAAAUAGAAGUUAAAUAAAUAUACACAUAAAUAUACAAUUAAAAUUGUGAUAUGUGCUAUGUAUUAGGAGAAAGAACAGAAUGCUAUGUGAGAACAUAAUGGGGCAAACCCAAUUUA